UAUCGGAUCGUUUUAGAAACAUCAGUGGCCAACAGAUCGCCAGAUCGUUGAGCUGCAUUGGCGGGAUUUCGCCGUCUUCGUUUCUCUUUCUUCGCGGACGAACACGCGCUGGGCCUGCAUCAAGCAGGACCCACGGUCCCUGACGGGAUAUGCGUUAGGGGCUUGUAGCUCAGUUGGUUAGAGCGCGCGCUUGAUAAGCGUGAGGUCGGAAGUUCAAGUCUUCCCAGGCCCACCACUUUCAUCGAGUGAGCAUUCGUCUUCUGGUUACGGGGCCAUAGCUCAGCUGGGAGAGCGCGUGCUUUGCAAGCAUGAGGUCGUCGGUUCGAUCCCGUCUGGCUCCACCAGAUGGUUUGAUCACCGAGAUCUUGCACCGUCGUCCGCGAAACAUCACUUCGCAUCCUGCUAGUCUGGAUAGACAGCAAGAUGCGUGUUUUCUGACAUCGUAAAGAGGAGAUCGAUCCGAGUUGGGUCGUGCAGCAGAUUGUUGCGCGAACCUUCAUUAUCUCCGGAUCAUUUUCGGCGCUCGCUUUCAGCCGUGAGGUUGAAUGCGAGUUGUAAAAUGAUCCUUUUAGCGAAGCUUGACCGCCUCGCUAUCGGAACGAUCUUACGAAGCAAGCUGGUCUUUCUAGUCAAUGUCCGGCUGCACGUAGCAUUCAUCGAGGGUGCGCGCCGUAAGGCAAUCGUGCAGACAACAUUCUGCCGAGUGUGUGGACAUUGAUAAUGAGAGCAAUCAAGUGCCUUAAGGGUGUUCGGUGGAUGCCUUGGCGCUGAGAGGCGAUGAAGGACGUGCUACGCUGCGAUAAGCCGUGGGGGAGCUGCGAAGAAGCUUUGAUCCGCGGA
Molecule: unclassified non-coding RNA, 840 nt
Filed under: Bradyrhizobium yuanmingense
Lineage: Bacteria; Pseudomonadati; Pseudomonadota; Alphaproteobacteria; Hyphomicrobiales; Nitrobacteraceae
Description: partial contains 16S-23S ribosomal RNA intergenic spacer and 23S ribosomal RNA
Rfam family: tRNA (bases 159-232)
Source: RNAcentral